AGACGUCUACAUUAGAUACCCGGGUAGUCCUAGCCGUAAACGAUACUCGCUAGGUGUCGGCCACGGUGCGACCGUUGUCGGUGCCGUAGGGAAGCCGUGAAGCGAGCCACCUGGGAAGUACGGCCGCAAGGCUGAAACUUAAAGGAAUUGGCGGGGGAGCACAACAACGGGUGGAGCUUGCGGUUUAAUUGGAUUCAACGCCGGAGAUCUUACCGGGACCGACAGCAACAUGAAGGCCAAGCUGAAGACUUUGCCGGAUUAGCUG
RNAcentral lists this ribosomal RNA (265 nucleotides) under uncultured archaeon. RNAcentral describes it as "partial 16S ribosomal RNA". It matches the Rfam family "Archaeal small subunit ribosomal RNA", at positions 717 to 982 of the family's 1478-position model. The record is from RNAcentral.